Molecule: transfer RNA, 73 nt
Filed under: Canis lupus familiaris (dog)
Lineage: Eukaryota; Metazoa; Chordata; Mammalia; Carnivora; Canidae
Also listed under: 2 other names
Rfam family: tRNA
About the family: Transfer RNA (tRNA) molecules are approximately 80 nucleotides in length. Their secondary structure includes four short double-helical elements and three loops (D, anti-codon, and T loops).
Source: Rfam by way of RNAcentral
ACCAGACUGGCUCAGUCAGUAGAGCAUGUGACUUUUGAUCUCACGGUCAUGAGUUCAAGCCCCACAUUGGGUA